Molecule: ribosomal RNA, 449 nt
Filed under: uncultured bacterium
Lineage: Bacteria
Description: partial 16S ribosomal RNA
Rfam family: Bacterial small subunit ribosomal RNA
Source: RNAcentral
UGUCCAGACUCCUACGGGAGGCAGCAGUGGGGAAUAUUGCACAAUGGGGGAAACCCUGAUGCAGCGACGCCGCGUGAGCGAUGAAGUAUUUCGGUAUGUAAAGCUCUAUCAGCAGGGAAGAAAAUGACGGUACCUGACUAAGAAGCCCCGGCUAACUACGUGCCAGCAGCCGCGGUAAUACGUAGGGGGCAAGCGUUAUCCGGAUUUACUGGGUGUAAAGGGAGCGUAGACGGCGAUGCAAGCCAGAUGUGAAAGCCCGGGGCUCAACCCCGGGACUGCAUUUGGAACUGUAUAGCUAGAGUGUCGGAGAGGCAGGCGGAAUUCCUAGUGUAGCGGUGAAAUGCGUAGAUAUUAGGAGGAACACCAGUGGCGAAGGCGGCCUGCUGGACGACAACUGACGGUGAGGCGCGAAAGCGUGGGGAGCAAACAGGAUUAGAUACCCGUGUAUA